GACGAACGCUGGCGGCGUGCUUAACACAUGCCAGUCGAACGGAAAGGCCCUGCUCUUGUUGGGUGCUCGUGUGGCGAACGGGUGUGUAACACGUGAGUAACCUGCCCUUGACUUUGGGAUAACUCCAGGAAACUGGGGCUAAUACCGGAUAGGAGCUCCUGCUGCAUGGUGGGGGUUGGAAAGUUUCGGCGGUGGGGGAUGGACUCGCGGCUUAUCAGCUUGUUGGUGGGGUAGUGGCUUACCAAGGCUUUGACGGGUAGCCGGCCUGAGAGGGUGACCGGCCCCAUUGGGCCUGCGGUAGGGACCAGAGGCGUACGUGGGGCAGCAGUGGGGAAUAUUGCCCAAUGGGCGGAAGCCUGAGGCAGCGACGCCGCGUGCGGGAUGACGGCCUUCGGGUUGUAAACCGCAUUCGCCUGUGACGAAGCGUGAGUGACGGUAAUGGGUAAAGAAGCACCGGCUAACUACGUG
This 468-nucleotide ribosomal RNA is filed under the name uncultured bacterium. RNAcentral describes it as "partial 16S ribosomal RNA". It matches the Rfam family "Bacterial small subunit ribosomal RNA", at positions 28 to 507 of the family's 1533-position model. The record is from RNAcentral.